This 382-nucleotide ribosomal RNA is filed under the name uncultured bacterium. RNAcentral's name for it is "bacterial SSU rRNA". It matches the Rfam family "Bacterial small subunit ribosomal RNA", at positions 29 to 395 of the family's 1533-position model. The record is from RNAcentral.
AACGAACGCUGGCGGCGUGCCUAACACAUGCAAGUCGUGCGAGAAAGUUCCUUCGGGAGCGAGUAAAGCGGCGCACGGGUGAGUAACACGUAGGUAACCUGCCCCCCAGUCUGGAACAACUAGAGGAAACUCUAGCUAAUGCCGGAUGAGACCACGAUCCCUUCGGGGGUUGCGGCCAAAGAUGGCCUCUACUUGUAAGCUAUCGCUGAGGGAUGGGCCUGCGGGCCAUUAGCUUGUUGGUGAGGUAACGGCUCACCAAGGCUGUGAUGGCUAGCUGGUCUGAGAGGAUGACCAGCCACACUGGGACUGAGACACGGCCCAGACUCCUACGGGAGCAGCAGUGGGAAUAUUGCGCAAUGGGACGAAAGCCUGACGCAGCGAC